This 380-nucleotide ribosomal RNA is filed under the name uncultured bacterium. RNAcentral describes it as "bacterial SSU rRNA". It matches the Rfam family "Bacterial small subunit ribosomal RNA", at positions 29 to 400 of the family's 1533-position model. The record is from RNAcentral.
AAUGAACGCUGGCGGCGCGCCUAAUACAUGCAAGUCGAGCGAGAAGACGUAGCAAUACGUUUGUAAAGCGGCGAACGGGUGAGGAAUACAUGGGUAACCUACCCUCGAGUGGGGAAUAACUAGCCGAAAGGUUAGCUAAUACCGCGUACGCUCCUUGGACUUCGGUUCAGGGAGGAAAGCGAUACCGUGGGUAUCGCGCCCUUGGUUGGGCUCAUGUCCUAUCAGCUUGUUGGUGAGGUAACGGCUCACCAAGGCUUCGACGGGUAGCUGGUCUGAGAGGACGAUCAGCCACACUGGCACUGCGACACGGGCCAGACUCCUACGGGAGCAGCAGUAAGGAAUAUUGCGCAAUGGGCGAAAGCCUGACGCAGCGACGCCGC